GGGGUGCUCGAGUGGCGAACGGGUGAUAACACGUGAGUAACCUGCCCUUGACUUUGGGAUAACUUCAGGAAACUGGGGCUAAUACCGGAUAGGAGCUCCUGCUGCAUGGUGGGGGUUGGAAAGUUUCGGCGGUUGGGGAUGGACUCGCGGCUUAUCAGCUUGUUGGUGGGGUAGUGGCUUACCAAGGCUUUGACGGGUAGCCGGCCUGAGAGGGUGACCGGCCACAUUGGGACUGAGAUACGGCCCAG
RNAcentral lists this ribosomal RNA (248 nucleotides) under uncultured Actinomycetales bacterium. RNAcentral describes it as "partial 16S ribosomal RNA". It matches the Rfam family "Bacterial small subunit ribosomal RNA", at positions 84 to 334 of the family's 1533-position model. Lineage: Bacteria; Bacillati; Actinomycetota; Actinomycetes; Actinomycetales. The record is from RNAcentral.